UGGGGAAUAUUGGACAAUGGGGGGAACCCUGAUCCAGCGACGCCGCGUGAGUGAAGAAGUAUUUCGGUAUGUAAAGCUCUAUCAGCAGGGAAGAAAGGAAUGACGGUACCUGACCAAGAAGCCCCGGCUAACUACGUGCCAGCAGCCGCGGUAAUACGUAGGGGGCAAGCGUUAUCCGGAUUUACUGGGUGUAAAGGGAGCGUAGACGGCGAUGCAAGUCUGGAGUGAAAGGCGGGGGCCCAACCCCCGGACUGCUCUGGAAACUGCAUGGCUGGAGUGCAGGAGGGGCAAGUGGAAUUCCUAGUGUAGCGGUGAAAUGCGUAGAUAUUAGGAGGAACACCGGUGGCGAAGGCGGCUUGCUGGACUGUAACUGACGUUGAGGCUCGAAAGCGUGGGGAGCAAACAGGAUUAGAUACCC
Molecule: ribosomal RNA, 418 nt
Filed under: uncultured bacterium
Lineage: Bacteria
Description: bacterial SSU rRNA
Rfam family: Bacterial small subunit ribosomal RNA
Source: RNAcentral